AACCGCGCUUUUCUGAAGAGGAUGUGAGCAGGGCCACAGGAAUUCAGGAAGCAGCAAACUUGAGCUUCGUGUGGACUACAGCCAGAAACUUGAAUAUUCUAUCCUUGGCUUCAUUUUUAUACCAGCAGCUUUUGUUCAACUACAGUGAGAUAAGUUAUAGGCAGUCAAGAUCAUGGACUUCCCAUGGCUGAUGUCCUGGUUGGAGAGACUUUGGUCUUGGGUUGCGCCGUUUUUAGGACGACAACCUCAAGUAGCGGUGACUGAUAGUACCGGUGUUGUUACCACCAGAGAACUAAAGGGUAAACAAUCAAAAGGCCUCAAAAUGACGAUCGAAACAGUGAGUGAUCCAGAUAAUCGUGCAGGGAAGGAUGUUGGACAGGCUUCCCAAGCAACUUACAGUGCAACAGGGGGCGGCGUCAUAUGUGCUGACAAAAUAGCUAUCGACACUAUUGACGGCGAUAUCGAUCUGUCAAUAUCUGUGAAAAAAUCAAACUAGGUGCAGAACAUUUUGCCAAGGAUCACUCCUUUAUCCUGUGAAUGCUUAAAAACAACGCUAAAGCCAAAAAAAACUGUUAUUAACCUGAAUGAUGUGAUUGGAUUUAUUUGGAUCUCUUUAAGCUCAUUGGCUAAUCUUCCAACAGUCCACAUUAAAAACAUUUAAACAUACAAUCCAUAGAUAAUUUGCACACAAUUGAAUUGUCGCUGCACACAUUAUCAUAUACACACACACACACACACACACACACAUAUAACCUACACUGGCACAUAGUACAAUAGUGUAAUGAAAACUACAUAUUUCAGUCGACAAUCGAUUGCAAUCAAAAGCGAUGUGAAAUAUUUUUUAAAGGUCAAGAAUCCUACUCUGAUGUUCUGAAGACUUAUCUACGGCUCAAACAAAUGACCAGAAAAGGAUACUAAGCAGGAGUGAUACGAAUUUAUUCUGUCUGUGCAUUAUUUGGUUCAUGCCAGUUUUUAUAGUCAAAAUAGAAACAUUUUUAAAAUCUUAUUCCUGUUUUUUUAGAAUAGAUCACACCCAAUAAUGUUAAAAGUAACAUUUGGAAAUAAUGUUCUCUUAUGAAAUUAAAUCUUUGCAAUUAUGGAAAAAUAAAAAUCCCAUUUUCAUUACAGA
Long non-coding RNA from Dicentrarchus labrax (European seabass), 1129 nucleotides. RefSeq lists it as uncharacterized. The transcript is spliced from 4 exons. Lineage: Eukaryota; Metazoa; Chordata; Actinopteri; Moronidae. The record is from RefSeq and is a predicted model, not a curated record.